Molecule: ribosomal RNA, 254 nt
Filed under: uncultured bacterium
Lineage: Bacteria
Description: partial 16S ribosomal RNA
Rfam family: Bacterial small subunit ribosomal RNA
Source: RNAcentral
CACGUAGGGGGCGAGCGUUGUCCGGAUUUAUUGGGCGUAAAGAGCUCGUAGGCGGCUCAGUAAGUCAGGUGUGAAAACUCCAGGCUCAACCUGGAGACGCCACUUGAUACUGCUGUGGCUAGAGUCCGGUAGGGGAGCAUGGAAUUCCUGGUGUAGCGGUGAAAUGCGCAGAUAUCAGGAGGAACACCGGUGGCGAAGGCGGUUCUCUGGGCCUUACCUGACGCUGAGGAGCGAAAGCGUGGGGAGCGAACAGG